CCUACGGGAGGCAGCAGUGAGGAAUAUUGGUCAAUGGGCGUAAGCCUGACCCAGCCAAGUCGCGUGAGGGAUGCAUUUUCUCUUCUUCUUCACCCUCUUUUAUAAGGGAAUCAAGUGCGGGACGUGUCCCGUUUUGUAUGUACCUUAUGAAUAAGGAUCGGCUCACUCCGUGCCAGCAGCCGCGGUAAUACGGAGGAUCCGCGCGUUAUCCGGAUUUAUUGGGUUUAAAGGGUGCGUAGGCGGCCUUUUAAGUCAGCGGUGCAAGUCUGUGGCUCAACCAUAGAAUUGCCGUUGAAACUGGGAGGCUUGAGUAUGUUUGAGGCAGGCGGAAUGCGUGGUGUAGCGGUGAAAUGCUUAGAUAUCACGCAGAACCCCGAUUGCGAAGGCAGCCUGCCAAGCCAUGACUGACGCUGAUGCACGAAAGCGUGGGGAUCAAACAGGAUUAGAUACCCCGGUAGUC
This 460-nucleotide ribosomal RNA is filed under the name uncultured bacterium. Its description in RNAcentral is "partial 16S ribosomal RNA". It matches the Rfam family "Bacterial small subunit ribosomal RNA", at positions 338 to 795 of the family's 1533-position model. The record is from RNAcentral.